Molecule: ribosomal RNA, 489 nt
Filed under: Triticum aestivum (bread wheat)
Lineage: Eukaryota; Viridiplantae; Streptophyta; Magnoliopsida; Poales; Poaceae
Description: partial small subunit ribosomal RNA
Source: RNAcentral
AUGUUGCAGAAUUUUCUCUCUUUGUCUUCACCUCUAUAUGGUGUUACGGAAAAAAAGUUUUGCAACAUGACUGAUGUUGCAGAAAUAUUUCUUGUAACAGAUUCGAUGUUGCAAAACAAAACUCCGCCGUCGUUCGCCGCUAGCCCGUUGGGCGGUGGUUAUGGAGGAGCGGCGCCGUCCAUUCCCGCCGCCCGCGAGCAUCAAACCUCCGACCAGGUCGCCUCACGGGGAGGCACGCGACUCAAUGGGAGCUCGGGGCAGUCGGAGCAGCACUGGGAGGCGACGACUCGACGGGAGCUCGGGGCAGUCGGAACAGCGCGGGGAGGCGACGACUCAACGAGAGCUCGGGAGGAGCACGAGCGGCGACUUCUAUCAAAGAUCCAGAUCCUGCAACAGAGCGGUUGUUGCGAUGAGAGUGAUUGCAACAACGGGCCAGUUACAAAAAUUAAUGGUGGUGGCCAUAGGGCACGUGGCGUGCAGACAAGGUGA